RNAcentral lists this ribosomal RNA (403 nucleotides) under uncultured bacterium. RNAcentral's name for it is "bacterial SSU rRNA". It matches the Rfam family "Bacterial small subunit ribosomal RNA", at positions 355 to 775 of the family's 1533-position model. The record is from RNAcentral.
UGGGGAAUAUUGGACAAUGGGCGCAAGCCUGAUCCAGCCAUGCCGCGUGGGUGAAGAAGGCCUUAGGGUUGUAAAGCCCUUUCAGCGGGGACGAUAAUGACGGUACCCGCAGAAGAAGCUCCGGCUAACUUCGUGCCAGCAGCCGCGGUAAUACGAAGGGAGCUAGCGUUGUUCGGAAUUACUGGGCGUAAAGGGCGCGUAGGCGGGUUUCCAAGUCGGGGGUGAAAUUCCAGGGCUCAACCCUGGGACGGCCUUCGAUACUGGGAGCCUGGAGAUCGGGAGAGGUGAGUGGAAUUCCGAGUGUAGAGGUGAAAUUCGUAGAUAUUCGGAGGAACACCAGAAGCGAAGGCGGCUCACUGGCCCGAGACUGACGCUGAGGCGCGAAAGCGUGGGGAGCAAACAG